AUGCAGUCGAGGGGUAACAUAGAGAAGCUUGCUUUUCUGAUGACGACCGGCGCACGGGUGCGUAACGCGUAUAGAAUCUACCUUAUACUGAGGGAUAGCCUUUGGAAACGAAGAUUAAUACCUCAUAGUAUGAUUAAUUGGCAUCAAUAUAUCAUUAAAGGUUACGGUAUAAGAUGACUAUGCGUUCUAUUAGCUAGAUGGUGUGGUAACGGCACACCAUGGCAACGAUAGAUAGGGGCCCUGAGAGGGGGAUCCCCCACACUGGUACUGAGACACGGACCAGACUCCUACGGGAGGCAGCAGUGAGGAAUAUUGGACAAUGGAGGCAACUCUGAUCCAGCCAUGCCGCGUGCAGGAAGACUGCCCUAUGGGUUGUAAACUGCUUUUAUACAGGAAGAAACCUAGUUACGUGUAACUAGCUGACGGUACUGUAAGAAUAAGGAUCGGCUAACUCCGUGCCAGCAGCCGCGGUAAUACGGAGGAUCCAAGCGUUAUCCGGAAUCAUUGGGUUUAAAGGGUCCGUAGGUGGAUAAUUAAGUCAGAGGUGAAAAUUUGCGGCUCAACCAUACCAUUGGCUUUGAUCCUGGUUGUCUUGAAUUAUAGUAAAGCAGAAAGAAUAUGAAAUGUACUGGAUAAAUCCUUUGAUGAC
RNAcentral lists this ribosomal RNA (649 nucleotides) under marine sponge bacterium 7m3or-27F. Its description in RNAcentral is "bacterial SSU rRNA". It matches the Rfam family "Bacterial small subunit ribosomal RNA", at positions 55 to 698 of the family's 1533-position model. The record is from RNAcentral.